GGGCGGGACGACGGACGCCACUUCCGCUUCCGCCGGAGCGGAGCCGGGCCGCAGACAUGAGUCGCUUCAAGUUUGUGGAUAUUGGUAUCAACUUGACAGAUCCUAUGUUCAGAGGAAUUUAUAGGGGAGUUCAGAAGCAUCAAGACGACUUACAAGAUGUAAUAGAAAGAGCUGUCCAGAUUGGUGUUAAAAAGUUUAUGAUCACAGGUGGAAAUCUGCAGGACAGUAAAGAGGCACUGCAUUUGGCACAAACAAAUGAUAUGUUUUUCAGUACAGUUGGAUGUCAUCCUACAAGAUGUGAUGAAUUUGAAAAGAAUGACCCUGAUCUUUACCUAAUGGAGUUGUUAAAUCUCGCUGAAAACAAUAAGGGGAAAGUUGUAGCAAUAGGGGAAUGUGGACUUGAUUUUGACCGACUACAGUUCUGUCCCAGAGAUACUCAGCUCAAAUAUUUUGAAAAACAGUUUGAACUGGCAGAACAAACAAAAUUACCAAUGUUUCUUCACUGUCGGAACUCACAUGCUGAAUUUUUGGACAUAAUGAAAAGAAACAGAGAUCGGUGUGUAGGUGGAGUGGUGCAUUCAUUUGAUGGUACCAAGGAAGCAGCAGCUGCCUUGAUGGACUUGGAUCUCUAUAUAGGAUUUAAUGGUUGCUCACUGAAAACUGAGGCUAAUUUGGAAGUUUUGAAGUCAAUACCUAGUGAAAAAUUAAUGAUUGAAACUGAUGCACCUUGGUGUGGAGUGAAAAGUACACAUGCUGGGUCAAAAUAUGUAAAAACUUUGUUUCCUACCAAAAAGAAGUGGGAAAAUGGGCACUGUGUGAAAGACAGGAAUGAACCCUGCCAUAUAAUAUUAUAAAUUCCAUGAAACACAUUUUGAAGCUCUUGUAUGUCAGGAAGGUGUAAGUUACUGAGGUUACAUAGAAGAAUCAAAGUCCCUGCCCGCAUCCACCCAGCAGAUGACGAGAUACAUUCUGCCAGGCACUUUGGAUAAGACAUUGAAGGUGUCAGACAGGAAUCCUGGCCUUCCUGAAGCAAAGCAGCAGAAAGUAUAAUCCAAGAUGUUAGUUCUGUUAUAGAGGUAUGAAUACACGACUAGGAGCACAGGACAUAGUCACUGCCUGCCUUGUGGGGAAGUAGCUUAACUAAGGUGACAUUUCAACUGGUCACAAAGUGCAACUGGGAGUUAGGCCAGACCAGGACAGACGCCUUGAGCAAAGGCAGGCUGCAGCAGGGCUUGGCUGCUCAGAGGGGAAACAAUGAGUUUACUGUGACAAAAAGUAGGAUGCACGGGUAAGUAAUAAGUCUGGGAAGACUGGUGAGCGCUCCUGUAUGCCAACCUUAGUAGUUUAGAUUUCACCAGGACCCAAAGGAUUUUCAGCAGGAAAAUGGCAGUUGUUUUUAAAACGCUGUUAACCUAUCAGCACAGAGAAAGGACUGAAAAAGGAGAUGGGUGGCAGGAACCUUACUGAUUUCACACAUUAUGCAGGAAUAAACAAGCAACAGAUGGUUCCUAAUUCAGAAAGUCUCGGUAAUAAGGACCUCAUCAUCAACCCUUCAUCAGCAACACUUCAAAAUCACAAGCCUACUGAAAACUGAUCACAAGAAUUACCUCAUCAACAAAAUUUGCCAAGUUUCAGCUGCUUUAAAAAAAAAUGUUAUGCAUAAAUGCUUCUCACACUGGUAAUGCAAGUAAAGACGGGGGAUGAAACAGGAUAUUGUUAACACUCCAUUCAUUUACAACAAAGGCAGUGAUUUUCAGGAGUCUCGGAAAAGUCUCCUCACUUUCUAGCCAUUUUUAUAACGAUUUUCAAUACCUUCUCUAUUCAUGGAAAAUGCUAAGACUCGUUACAAGUAUCGCUGUCUUCAUGAGCAUUUUUGGUAAUCGUUUCAAGGUUUGACAUUCGAAACCCUGUCUCCUUCGUUUGGGUGUCAUUUCCCGCAGACACUUCAUGAUCAUGUGGGCCCGGGGAUACAGAAGUGACAACAUACGAGUGCUCUGUAUUCUGGAGAGGGGGAAACUGAGGCCCGGGCCUUGGCACUACAAGCCCAAGGUCACACACGGCGAGAUGGGGCAGAGUUGCUGUUUUUCCAAGGCUGUCGCAGGAGACGCGGCGAGCCAGUACUCAUUCCCCAAGAGAAACAGCAGGCAAAGAGCCGCAUGCUCACACAUCCAUGCUUUCUCCCCACCCUCGGUGCAAAAAUGAACGGAGGGCUGACUCUUGACGAGGACUGCUCCGCUGUCAACUCUGAGACAAGUGUCAUCUCCUCCCCUCUCCCAGCCUGCAAAGAUGCCUCUGUUGGGAAAGAAACUGGUUCUCAAACACACAUACACACACUACCCACUGACUGCGCGCGGGUGCCCGCUCCCUGCAGCACGUCUCGGCCCGCACAGCCGUCCUGGGACGCAAGCUACCCGGUUCCGCUUACCAAGAAGCCGGAGGAAGAUCUGGAGCCCGAUGCAGAACCGGCUUUGGCUGGAAUCGUAGUAGGAGUUGAAGAUGGCGUCGAUGAUGUAGAGGCAGGGCACCCGGAGCGCCACCUCGAGCGCCGCCCAGACCUGCUGAUGGGCCAUCCGCACCUGCUGCUGCGGGGGCCCCACCGCCGCCAUGAGCCGCUGCCACACCGGGGCUGGGCGAGCCGGGCAGGGCCGCGCGGGGCAGGGCCCGGGACCACGGCCAGGGGCGGGGGCUAAGGCGGGCGACUCCGCCCCCGCCCUCCCUCCUCUCCGGUCUGUCUCACCGCCUGCCCCGCCGCCCGCUCGCGUCUCUCGAGCUGGAGCAGGCGGCGGAGGCUCCCGGGAGGCCUCUGGGUGUCUGUGUUUCCGGCCGGCUAAGGUCUGGCUCCUCCUCCCUCCAACGCCUCCCCCGCCCGCGGCGCCACCAUCUUGACCUCGCCCGCCUGCCUCUGCCGUUGCUGCUGUUUGGAGGCCAGGAGGCUGCGUCCGCGGUCACGCGAGACCGCAGGGCCCGCGCCGCCGACUGCGUCAUAAUCCGGCGUUAGGGGCGCUCCCCAGACCGUCAUCACGCGCGGCGUAGCGAACGUCUCGCCGCGUUGCCAUGGUUUCCGCCCACCUUCGCGGCUUUGGCGCCACCGGGUGGCGCAGGCGCUCUCCGGCAGCCGCGCCCUCCUGCCUGAGUGGCUUCCUCACGGGAGGCGGUGGCAGCGUCGGUUCUGCGAGGGACUCCCUGCUUCCGUGGGCGGAAUUAUUAGCCGCUUCGUUCUAACCCAUUAAACGUCCCAUAAACGUGGUUCGGAGCUGUUUGGGAGGAGGAGAGCAGAGGGCGCCGCCCGCCGGACCUACCCCACCCCGCCCGGAGGCCGGUCUGAGGAUGGCAUUUUCCAGGGAAAAUCUCUGCGAGGCCGCCCGGGGUCCUGCUGGAGAGUCGCUGAGCGCGCUCUGUGCUGCGGCCGUGCGACGUGGCAAUGAGCUGGGGGUGGUAGGCGCUGCCAAGGAAAGCAUCCCUCUCCUCUCUUGCGCAUCACCUUCCGUGUCUUCUACCCGACGGGACAGAACUGAGGACACCCAUCGGCCGCACUUUGCCAAUGUCAAGGGCCACUUGUGAUUUAAGGGCGAGAACCCAGGGCUCUGUGUUUCUGGCCUUUGAGGUCCGCACGCUCAGGCAGUCCCUUCUUUCCUCCUCAGGGAAGAAGCCGCACUUGUUUUUGUAGGGGAUCAGAAUGUGCCACCCCAAAACAUGCCGCUUUGACACAAAGAUAAUUUUCAGCUGAAGAUAGCAGAGAAACAGCAGAAGCUUAAUUUUUUUUUAAAGAUCCCUGCCCGCCCUCCUCACUGCCCCCGUUCGCCUAAAAGGCAGGACAUAAAUUUCUAUUUGUAAAGGUGCCUCCCUCUCCCUUACCAAGAAGAGGGCAACUCAGACUUUCAGUGACCCGCAAACCUUAACUAAAUGAACCCUUAUCUUCCAUUCGUUUCCCCCAUUACGUUUUUACCUUAGCAGUCUGCUGUCCCUGAAAGCCUAAUCCCCUUUUCUUUUGUCACUUCUCUACAAAAUUAUUCUUUGUAAAUACAUUAAACCCCAAAUUGUAGGCACGCUUUGAGUCAUUCACCACUUAGUUUCUCGCAUGGGUAUGUGCACUCACGGGUUAAUAAACUGCUUCUCUCUUGUUGA
This is an RNA transcript of Felis catus (domestic cat), 4125 nucleotides long. It is a transcript of the gene named TatD DNase domain containing 1, with no coding region annotated. NCBI's taxonomy places the organism in Eukaryota, Metazoa, Chordata, Mammalia, Carnivora, Felidae. The transcript has 13 exons. The record is from RefSeq and is a predicted model, not a curated record.